RNAcentral lists this ribosomal RNA (629 nucleotides) under uncultured eukaryote. Its description in RNAcentral is "SSU rRNA". It matches the Rfam family "Eukaryotic small subunit ribosomal RNA", at positions 610 to 1248 of the family's 1831-position model. The record is from RNAcentral.
UUGUUGCAGUUAAAAAGCUCGUAGUUGAACUUUGGGUUUGGUUGGGUGGUCUUCCUUACGGUAGCACUACUCUGACUGAAUCUUUCCUUCUGGUGAACAAUUGUGCUUUUCAUUAAGUGCGAUUGGGACCCAGGACUUUUACUUUGAAAAAAUUAGAGUGUUUAAAGCAGGCUUACGCUUGAAUACAUUAGCAUGGAAUAAUAAAAUAGGACUUUGGUUUUAUUUUGUUGGUUUUCAAGACCGAAGUAAUGAUUAAUAGGGAUAGUUGGGGGCAUUGGUAUUUAGCCGUCAGAGGUGAAAUUCUUGGAUUGGCUAAAGACUAACUUCUGCGAAAGCAUUUGCCAAGGAUGUUUUCAUUAAUCAAGAACGAAAGUUAGGGGAUCGAAGACGAUCAGAUACCGUCGUAGUCUUAACCAUAAACUAUGCCGACUAGGGAUCGGACAAGUUCUUUUACGUCUUGUUCGGCACCUUAUGAGAAUCAAAGUUUUUAGGUUCCGGGGGGAGUAUGGUCGCAAGGCUGAAACUUAAAGGAAUUGACGGAAGGGCACCACCAGGAGUGGAGCCUGCGGCUUAAUUUGACUCAACACGGGGAAACUCACCAGGUCCAGACAUAGUAAGGAUUGACAGAU